CGCCUGGGGAGUACGGCCGCAAGGUUAAAACUCAAAUGAAUUGACGGGGGCCCGCACAAGCGGUGGAGCAUGUGGUUUAAUUCGACGUAACGCGAAGAACCUUACCUGGCCUUGACAUGCAGAGGACUUUCCAGAGAUGGAUUGGUGCCUUCGGGAACUCUGACACAGGUGCUGCAUGGCCGUCGUCAGCUCGUGUCGUGAGAUGUUGGGUUAAGUCCCGUAACGAGCGCAACCCCUAUCCCUAGUUGCUAGCAGUUCGGCUGAGAACUCUAGGGAGACUGCCGGUGACAAACCGGAGGAAGGUGGGGAUGACGUCAGGUCAUCAUGGCCCUUACGGCCAGGGCUACACACGUGCUACAAUGGUGCGCACAGAGGGCUGCAAACCCGCGAGGGGGAGCCAAUCUCACAAAACGCAUCGUAGUCCGGAUCGCAGUCUGCAACUCGACUGCGUGAAGUCGGAAUCGCUAGUAAUCGUGAAUCAGAAUGUCACGGUGAAUACGUUCCCGGGCCUUGUACACACCGCCCGUCACACCAUGGGAGUGGAUUGCACCAGAAGUGGUUAGUCUAACCUUCGGGAGGACGAUCACCACGGUGUGGUUCAUGACUGGGGUGAAGUCGUAACAAGGUAACCGUA
RNAcentral lists this ribosomal RNA (634 nucleotides) under uncultured Marinobacter sp. RNAcentral's name for it is "bacterial SSU rRNA". It matches the Rfam family "Bacterial small subunit ribosomal RNA", at positions 870 to 1504 of the family's 1533-position model. The record is from RNAcentral. Lineage: Bacteria; Pseudomonadati; Pseudomonadota; Gammaproteobacteria; Pseudomonadales; Marinobacteraceae.